AGUGGGAAGAGAGAAGUAGCUAAGGAAGGGGUACUGAUAUGAAAUGGAUUUCUGGAAAAUGUUUUCCUGAGUAUUUGCAGGAAUACUUCUGGGUCAUUAAAAGGGUGAUCUAUUUUAGGCACUUCCGCGGAAAGAGGGGUAUAAAAGGAGGUGCAGAUGAAAACAGUAAGUUGGUGGAAGCAGACUGCGCAGGAGGCUCCCUUUAUCCGACUCAACAGGAUGAGAAGGGAAAUUCUGGGGCCGCUGCCUGCCACUCAGCAGGGAAGCAAAAGCCUGCUCUGUAUUUAACCCGAGGGGAUGAGGAAAUCCUAACAGUCCCUCUUCUCUCAGGGGUGCGAGGGGCCUCCGCCCUUCAGGAGUCUCGUGAGGAUGCCAACGUGGACUCGUGUCUGCACGUGUGCGUGUUUUCAUUUGCGCGUCCAGCGCGAAAGCGACGUCCCACAGUAAGAAAAAUCCAUCCAUCCCGGCAGGCCGUGGGCUCCCCACCCCCGCACCCCAAACCGCAGCUCCGUCUGGGUGGAACGAAUUUUCCCUAA
RNAcentral lists this long non-coding RNA (536 nucleotides) under Dasypus novemcinctus (nine-banded armadillo). Its description in RNAcentral is "lncRNA (ENSDNOG00000052565.1)". The record is from RNAcentral. Lineage: Eukaryota; Metazoa; Chordata; Mammalia; Cingulata; Dasypodidae.